Long non-coding RNA from Oryctolagus cuniculus (rabbit), 1644 nucleotides. Lineage: Eukaryota; Metazoa; Chordata; Mammalia; Lagomorpha; Leporidae. The record is from Ensembl.
UCAGAAAUCUAGACCUGAAUCUUCUCUGAGUUCAUGACCACCCUUUCAAAUUAGCCACCUCUCUCAAACCAUCUUUGUCUCCUUAAUUUAUUUUAGUUUUCCUUUUAAUAUGUCCGUGCAUGUGUGUGCUACAUAUGGUCACACACACCUGUGCACACACAUUUGUUGUGUGCUGUUCUCUAUCUUAGAAUAAGAACAGCAGCUUGGUUACAGUACCAGGCACAUAGAAGGCACUCAAUAAAUAUUUGUUGGAAGCAAGCAUAUAAAUUGAUUGUUUUAUGAGUGAAUGUUUGCACUCCCCCAAAAAUCUUGUUGGAGCUCUGACCUCUAAACGUUUAUAUUUGGAGAUAAGGCCCUUACACAAGUAAUUAAUGUUCAAUGAGGUCCUAAAGGUGGGACUCUGGUCAGAAAGGACUGGUGUCUUUAUUAGAAGAGACUCCAGAGAGCUCAUUUGCUUUUUCCACAUGUAUGCACCAAGGAAAGUAAUGUUAUCAGACAGUAAGUUGACCACCUGCAGGAUGAGAGCCUUCACCAGGAAUCAAAGAGAUCGGCAUCCUAAUUUUGGACUUCUCAACCUCCAGAACUGUGAGAAAUAAAUUUUUAUGAUGUAAGACACCCAGUCUAUGUUUUGUUUUGAGCAGCCCAGGCAGACUAAGACAAGUUAUAAAGACUAUGAAAAUAACAAGGAACUCAGUUAUAAUGUUCAGUCACACAGUAUCACAAAUCGCUUUGAGAUCACUAAUGCAAUUGAAUGAUGUAAUGGUGUGACUGAGCAGUCCUUUCUAGCACCUCCCAAAGUGAUGGAGGCUGGAAGAUUAAUCUUAUCUUGACCUGAAAAUAGAAUAAAUGUUCAAGAUGAACAAAUACUUUUGAUGACGUUUCUUGUUUGUUUGUCCCCCACCCCCCCACCCCCCGAGGUCAGGAGUGGUUGAAACUCAGAGGAAAAGAAUGAUCCAGUUAUCAUGGUGAAAAAUGCUGUUUCCAGAGGGAGCUCAGUGUCUAAAAGCAGCAGAAGUCCCCCACGAGUUCCCCGGAAGGACUCACAUAUAGCUGAGUGCCUACCACAUAACCAAAAACUACUGAUAUUCAAGCAAAUACCAGAUGCUUCAGAUAACAGCUUCAGAGAGAGAAACAGAAGCCAAGAGAAAUCCAAUGCUUGGCCACAGAAUCAAUGCUCGUUCAGUGAUGGAGUCUAGCUUCUCUCUCCGUGAUGGCAGGAUUCUCCAGACAAAAGGCCUUAGAUGUAAAGACACUCCCUGGGAUGCCUUGUCGCUCCCGUCUUCGCGGAGGAACGACACAGGACCCUGCGCUGUUCUUUUGUCUGCUCGGCCCUCCCCGGGUUUGCUGCUGGUUCUUCCCGGGUUGGCUACCGUCCCUUCCACCUCCGUGGAAGGGCGGUUCCCCCUGCCACUUUCCCCACUUCCGCGGGGGAGCGGCACACCGCCGGCCGGCUCUCUCGGGGGCUGCUCAGGUGUUCCUUCAGCUAGAUGUUCCUGGUGCAUGUUGUCUCUCCCCUCCUUUAUAGUCCUCUUCCAUCAAUCCCAACUCUGCUACCCACAUGCCGAGUAUGCUGCUCUCCUCCAAUCAGGAGCAGGAUCAGCUCCUGCAGGUCAUCACUCAAGUUGGCGAGAGGCAGCUGCGUAG